This 497-nucleotide ribosomal RNA is filed under the name uncultured bacterium. Its description in RNAcentral is "partial 16S ribosomal RNA". It matches the Rfam family "Bacterial small subunit ribosomal RNA", at positions 28 to 507 of the family's 1533-position model. The record is from RNAcentral.
GAUGAACGCUGGCGGCGUGCCUAAUACAUGCAAGUCGAGCGAACAGACGAGGAGCUUGCUCCUCUGACGUUAGCGGCGGACGGGUGAGUAACACGUGGAUAACCUACCUAUAAGACUGGGAUAACUUCGGGAAACCGGAGCUAAUACCGGAUAAUAUAUUGAACCGCAUGGUUCAAUAGUGGAAGACGGUUUUGCUGUCACUUAUAGAUGGAUCCGCGCCGCAUUAGCUAGUUGGUAAGGUAACGGCUUACCAAGGCAACGAUGCGUAGCCGACCUGAGAGGGUGAUCGGCCACACUGGAACUGAGACACGGUCCAGACUCCUACGGGAGGCAGCAGUAGGGAAUCUUCCGCAAUGGGCGGAAGCAUGACGGAGCAACGCCGCGUGAGUGAUGAAGGUCUUCGGAUCGUAAAACUCUGUUAUUAGGGAAGAACAAAUGUGUAAGUAACUAUGCACGUCUUGACGGUACCUAAUCAGAAAGCCACGGCUAACUACGUG